Molecule: ribosomal RNA, 253 nt
Filed under: uncultured bacterium
Lineage: Bacteria
Description: partial 16S ribosomal RNA
Rfam family: Bacterial small subunit ribosomal RNA
Source: RNAcentral
UACAGAGGUCUCAAGCGUUGUUCGGAUUCAUUGGGCGUAAAGGGUGCGUAGGCGGCGCGGUAAGUCGGGUGUGAAAUUUCGAGGCUUAACUUCGAAACUGCAUUCGAUACUGCCGUGCUUGAGGACUGGAGAGGAGACUGGAAUUUACGGUGUAGCGGUGAAAUGCGUAGAUAUCGUAAGGAAGACCAGUGGCGAGGGCGGGUCUCUGGACAGUUCCUGACGCUGAGGCACGAAGGCCAGGGGAGCAAACGGG